UACGUGAGUGGCAAGCGUUAUCCGGAAUUACUGGGCGUAAAGGGCGUGUAGGUGGUAAAGUAAGUCAAAGGUAAAAACACUAAGCUUAACUUAGAUGGAGCCGAUGAAACUGCUAUACUAGAGUAUAGGAUAGGAAGAGAUGGAAUUAUUACUGUAGCGGUGGAAUGCGUAGAUAGUAAUAGGAAGGCCAACGACGAAGGUAAUCUUCUGGACUAAUACUGACACUGAGGCGCGAAAGCUAGGGGAGCAAAGCAGGAUUGAGAAACCCCAG
RNAcentral lists this ribosomal RNA (271 nucleotides) under uncultured bacterium. RNAcentral's name for it is "partial 16S ribosomal RNA". It matches the Rfam family "Bacterial small subunit ribosomal RNA", at positions 524 to 790 of the family's 1533-position model. The record is from RNAcentral.